GCCAAAAACUAGCCUGCACAACACACCAUAAAUCACUUCACACAAACUAAACCAUUUACCAAAUCCAGUAUAUGAGAUAGAACUUUAAACACAGCGCAAUAGCCCAAAUCGUACCACAAGGGAACCAUGAAAGACUAAUUAAUAACCACAAGCACAGCACAGCAGGGCUAAAGCCCCGUACCUCCUGCAUCAUGGUUUAGCCAGCAGCUCGCCGACAAAGUGCCCUGUGUCCGCCACCCCGAAACCAGACGAGCUACCUAAGAGCAAUCACCAAGAAUCAACCCAGGUCUGGGCAAAAGCGCGGGAUGACUUUUAGGUAGAGGCGAAACACCAACCGAGCUCUGGUGAUAGCGUCCCCCC
RNAcentral lists this ribosomal RNA (360 nucleotides) under Gekko hokouensis x Gekko yakuensis. Its description in RNAcentral is "partial 16S ribosomal RNA". Lineage: Eukaryota; Metazoa; Chordata; Lepidosauria; Squamata; Gekkonidae. The record is from RNAcentral.